UGGAUCGGACUUCACUCCAACCCCUGUGACAUACCAAUUGUUGCCUCGGCGGAUCAGCCCGCUCCCGGUAAAACGGGACGGCCCGCCAGAGGACCCCUAAACUCUGUUUCUAUAUGUAACUUCUGAGUAAAACCAUAAAUAAAUCAAAACUUUCAACAACGGAUCUCUUGGUUCUGGCAUCGAUGAAGAACGCAGCAAAAUGCGAUAAGUAAUGUGAAUUGCAGAAUUCAGUGAAUCAUCGAAUCUUUGAACGCACAUUGCGCCCGCCAGUAUUCUGGCGGGCAUGCCUGUUCGAGCGUCAUUUCAACCCUCAAGCCCCCGGGUUUGGUGUUGGGGAUCGGCGAGCCCUUGCGGCAAGCCGGCCCCGAAAUCUAGUGGCGGUCUCGCUGCAGCUUCCAUUGCGUAGUAGUAAAACCCUCGCAACUGGUACGCGGCGCGGCCAAGCCGUUAAACCCCCAACUUCUGAAUGUUGACCUCGGAUCAGGUAGGAAUACCCGCUGAACUUAAGCAUAUCAAA
RNAcentral lists this ribosomal RNA (517 nucleotides) under Fusarium fujikuroi. Its description in RNAcentral is "eukaryotic LSU rRNA". The stretch from base 148 to 301 matches the Rfam family "5.8S ribosomal RNA". Lineage: Eukaryota; Fungi; Ascomycota; Sordariomycetes; Hypocreales; Nectriaceae. The record is from RNAcentral.